Paraburkholderia susongensis is the source of this 85-nucleotide non-coding RNA. The record is from Rfam. Lineage: Bacteria; Pseudomonadati; Pseudomonadota; Betaproteobacteria; Burkholderiales; Burkholderiaceae.
UCUGCUUUUCGAAGCAGACUUUUUCGUUGACGAAAAAGAUCUCCAAACCUUUGUCGGCGCGACUUUCCAGUCGCGCUUUUUUUGU